Molecule: long non-coding RNA, 2333 nt
Organism: Sardina pilchardus (European sardine)
Lineage: Eukaryota; Metazoa; Chordata; Actinopteri; Clupeiformes; Clupeidae
Exons: 4
Source: RefSeq, a predicted model, not a curated record
GUGUCGUCCUUUGAGCCCUCAUUACAGGGUUUGAAUGUUAAAUAUUUUAAAAGCGAUCACUCUGGAUCCUACAGCUGUUUCAUAUUGAGAAUAAUACCGACCCCCACUCUUCAGUUUAAUGCAAAUACAGUGGAACUUCAUGCAGAUGGUCCAAGCCUUGAGUUAGUGAUUACCACUGAUUCUGGUUGUGUUGAGCUGUUGUAUACAUUUGAUGCCAUAGAUCAAGGGCAAGUUGGUUUUAUCUGGAACUCGAGGGGCAAGAAUAAAUCUGAACAGGUUCAGGUCACCAACAGCUCAUCCAGUGUAAGCAGCGUUCUGCGCUUAUGUGGAGCUGAGAGGAGAGAUGGAGACACCAUUACCUGCAGUGUUUCACAUCCAUCAGGUCACUUUACAUCAAGCUGGACUAUUCAUGAACAGAAUGUACGUCAUGAAGACAACCACUGGGUGGUGAAAUCCUGCAUUGGUGGUUUAACUUGGGCAGUUUUUACAGUUUUAACGGUUGUCAUUAUUUACAAAUGUAAGAAGAGAAAGAAACCUGAUGAUGCUGGGUACACCAACAGUUUAUGAAAACUUCAAUUUUGGCCCUGGGGUUCCCAAUGGAAGAAGUAUAUCAGUCUCUGGGCCUGUAUUCACAAAGAAUCUCAAGGCUCCUACUUGAUGGAUUUAGGAAACCCAUUAGUUAUAGUAAACGUUAAAGUUAUUUACAUUUUAACAAUGCACAAUUUGGGAGACACUUUUAUCCAAAGCAACUUAUGCAUUUAAAUUAUUUUAUCUUAAUUAUUAUUACAAGGGCCAUUCUCCCCAGAGCACCACUGGUUUAAAGAGAAACUAUGCAGGAUUGGCGAUUUCAUCUCCGGUUUCGGUUUCGUUUUUCGUUUUCGCUCGUCUUAUGCUUGCAUAUUUCUCUGCAGAGCUUCCCCGACAGCUUUAGCGUGUAUAUUUAUACAUAUAUAGGCUAUAUAUAAAUAUAUAAAUUGCAAGCGUGGUUCUUCUUGAUCCUUACGUGUCUCAGCCUUCCAGAUGUAAACAAGGAGCGAUCGUCUCCUGAACACACUGCAAGGUUGCAAUAGCGGAUAGGGACACUGGGGGCGGGAGGUAAAUAUUACAGUUUUCGAUAAAACUGGUCAGUCAAGCAAAACAACGAUUUCUAAGCGAUUUUAUGACUAUGAAAAAGUUGCAUAGGGUCUCUUUAAGUGCCUUGCUCAAGGGCUCAAUGGUGGAAGCUACGAAUUGCACCCACUUUUCAGGCUACUGAAUGCUAGCCCAGCUCCUUAGCCACUACCACCACCAAGUUCUGUCUGACACACCCAUUAUUUUCUCCAAAAUAUGCAAGUUAGGAAUUACUUUUACAGUCUACCAUUUGCUUUCUCCAUUAUCCAAUAAAGAUCAUCUGACCUCCAUUGUCAUGAGUGGGGUAUUCUGCCUUGUGAAUAUAAGUUGUAGUAUUAUGGAUAUCACGUGGACAGUGAAGUAGCAUACCAUGACAAGAAAUGCUGAAGGAUGUAAUGUGUUGACGUAAAGUGUAUCUAUUAUCUUACUUCUUUGAGGUAACCACCUGACAUAGCAUAAAGAUCACAUGCCAUGUCCAAGAAUGUAUCUAUGUAUAUUUGUGCAUGUAUAAGGAAUUUCAGACAUUUUAUGCUCAGUAGUAAGAUGACCCAUGAUAUUGCAUUGUGACCAUGUAACUGAAGUUACAUGUAUAAGUUGGGAUCUCGACUGACAGGACUUUUGGUUUGUUAGUCGGAUGUGCUGUUGCUUGUAGCCUAACUUUCUGUUGCUUGUAGCCUUUCUCAUACCAGAGUGUGCCUGCGCGUUUUUUGACCACAAUUACAUAGUCUAUGUCUUUUAUUUGUCCCUACUAAAAAGUGACUACAAAAUAAGUUAAGCCUAAUGAUGACCUAAUGACGUGGUAAGCAUGGAUGAGACGUUGACAUUUAAAAAGGGAAAACAUGGACUUCUAUAUGUCUGUUUUAUCCCUGAGAGCAAUUUCUGAGAGCUUGGGCACCAUGUUUCAGCUACUAAAUAUAUUAUAUACCUGCUAAAGAGGCUAAAGCUUAGAUGCAAAUGGGUCUUUCAGGUUAAAGAUCAUUUACAUUGAAGAUAGGAACAUUGAGGACAAAAAGAAAAAGUUUUAGAACAGUCAUCCUAAUCCUAAAAUACGUCAACUGAACUGUAAAGUUCAGGGUUAUUGAAAUGAAACGUCCAAAAUGGUGAGUUGACUGAUUGAAUGUAUUUAGCCGAAGUCUCAAUAUUCAACCUCAACUGUAUAUGAAAUGAUAAUCUAGAGUGAUAGUCUGUUUUACAUUCAGUGUGUGUGUACAAAAUAGAUUAUA